GGGUGACUAGCUCAAUGGUAGAGCAGAAGACUCUUAAUCUUUUGGUUCAGGGUUCGAGUCCCUGGUUACCCA
This 72-nucleotide transfer RNA is filed under the name Geitlerinema splendidum. RNAcentral's name for it is "tRNA-Lys". It matches the Rfam family "tRNA". From Rfam's summary of the family: Transfer RNA (tRNA) molecules are approximately 80 nucleotides in length. RNAcentral also lists the same sequence under 1 other name. The record is from RNAcentral. Lineage: Bacteria; Bacillati; Cyanobacteriota; Cyanophyceae; Geitlerinematales; Geitlerinemataceae.